UCAGGAAAUGAAGCGUUGAGUUAGAAUCUCUGACGAUCAUUUUGGAUCAAGGUGAAGCGGAAAGUAUAUUCUCAAAGAAACAGUGUCAUUUCUGGGAUAUUUACGCCUCGAAUUGAAAGACGUCCUAAGUGUAAGGUUGUUGCAAAUAUUCCUUUACGGUGUUAGUGGCACAGAAAGUUGCUGUUUGGAAAUUCAUAGUUAACACACAAAUUCUUAACUGUGCAGAACUGGGUUGUAACAGAUCAACCGCUACAGACCAAUGGGCAUCAGUAAUAUGCAAGCAGGUCAACAUACAGCAACCACUGCAGAAAUCAUCGGCUGCCGCACGUGUGCAGCAGCCAUGGCUCAGUUGCCUCGCUCGCCCUUUGCUGCGGAACACCGCACCGUCUCUGCCUCUCACCCGCCCGACGACACCUCAUCCGACUCUCACCUCAUUGCGGCACCGACAGCUGCAAUUCCAGCAGUAGUGCCUCGGCUUCCAAAUCAUUCCUAGUUCAACGCAUCUUUAUUAUCUAUCUGAGUCUCCACUACAUCGAUAGAUGGAAG
This is a long non-coding RNA of Schistocerca americana (American grasshopper), 546 nucleotides long. RefSeq lists it as uncharacterized. The record is from RefSeq and is a predicted model, not a curated record. The transcript has 3 exons. Lineage: Eukaryota; Metazoa; Arthropoda; Insecta; Orthoptera; Acrididae.